RNAcentral lists this ribosomal RNA (463 nucleotides) under uncultured bacterium. RNAcentral's name for it is "partial 16S ribosomal RNA". It matches the Rfam family "Bacterial small subunit ribosomal RNA", at positions 28 to 507 of the family's 1533-position model. The record is from RNAcentral.
GAUGAACGCUGACAGCAUGCUUAACACAUGCAAGUCUUUGGCGAAGCUGUGCUCGCCCAGCCUAGCCAAGGCGGACGGGUGAGUAACGCGUAAGGAACUUGCCCUGCAGUCAGGGAUAACAGACGGAAACGACUGAUAAGACCUGGUAAAGUCAGGCGGACUCAUGUCCAGCCUGAUGAAAAGAGAUGCUGCAGGAGAGCCUUGCGUCCUAUUAGCUUGUUGGUGGGGUAACGGCCCACCAAGGCGAUGAUAGGUAGCCGGCCUGAGAGGGUGGACGGCCACAAGGGGACUGAGAUACGGCCCUUACUCCUACGGGAGGCAGCAGUGGGGAAUAUUGGACAAUGGGGGCAACCCUGAUCCAGCAAUUCUGUGUGCACGAUGAAGGUUUUCGGAUUGUAAAGUGCUUUCAGCAGGGAAGAAAAAAAUGACGGUACCUGCAGAAGAAGCGACGGCUAAAUACGUG